AAGCUUAUAGAAAUAAUCUCAUCUUUUUACAGAGAUAGAUGUCCGACAUCGUUUACUCUAUUAUUUUAGGUGUUUUCUGAUUUUGAAGUUAAUGGUGGAGCAGUGGGCUUAACAUCAUGUUGUUUGUAUGGUGGAGCUCCUUAUCAUGCUCAGGAGAGCCAAUCGAGGAGAGGGGUCGAUAUAAUGAUUGGAACACCUGGCCGUGGGAAAGUAACUCAUUGAAUUGGAAGCUUAUUUGGUAAGUAUUCACGCAAAUCAUUGUGGGUCCUAGGAAGUGUUGGCGAGCCUAUCAAUCCAAGUGCGUGGAGGUGGUUUUUCAAUGUAGUCGGAGAUUCAGAGUGCCCUAUAUCUGACACUUGGUGGCAAACUGAAACUGGUGGCUUCAUGAUCACACCAUUAUCUAGUGCCUGGCCACAGAAACCUGGAUCUGCUACUUUUCUUUUCUUUGGG
Molecule: long non-coding RNA, 450 nt
Organism: Eucalyptus grandis
Lineage: Eukaryota; Viridiplantae; Streptophyta; Magnoliopsida; Myrtales; Myrtaceae
Exons: 3
Source: RefSeq, a predicted model, not a curated record